UACGUAGGGGGCUAGCGUUGUCCGGAAUCAUUGGGCGUAAAGAGCGUGUAGGCGGCCUGGUAAGUCCGCUGUAAAAGUCAAAGGCUCAACCUUUGAAUGUCAGUGGAUACUGCCGGGCUAGAGUCCGGAAGAGGCGAGUGGAACUCCUGGUGUAGCGGUGGAAUGCGCAGAUAUCAGGAGGAACACCAAUUGCGAAGGCAGCUCGCUGGGACGUGACUGACGCUGAGACGCGAAAGCGUGGGGAGCAAACAGG
RNAcentral lists this ribosomal RNA (253 nucleotides) under uncultured bacterium. Its description in RNAcentral is "partial 16S ribosomal RNA". It matches the Rfam family "Bacterial small subunit ribosomal RNA", at positions 524 to 776 of the family's 1533-position model. The record is from RNAcentral.